This 439-nucleotide ribosomal RNA is filed under the name uncultured bacterium. Its description in RNAcentral is "partial 16S ribosomal RNA". It matches the Rfam family "Bacterial small subunit ribosomal RNA", at positions 338 to 795 of the family's 1533-position model. The record is from RNAcentral.
CCUACGGGUGGCAGCAGUGGGGGAUAUUGCUCAAUGGAGGAAACUCUGAUGCAGCGACGCCGCGUGAGGGAUGACGGUUUUCGGAUUGUAAACUUCUGUCUUUGGGGAAGAAAAUGACGGUAUCCAACGAGGAAGCUCCGGCUAACUACGUGCCAGCAGCCGCGGUAAUACGUAGGUAGCGAGCGUUGUCCGGAAUUACUGGGGGUAAAGAGAGCGUAGGCGGGCGAGAAAGUAGAAUGUAAAAUCUACUGGCUUAACAGAGAGCUGCGUUCAAAACUUUUUUUCUUGAGGAAAGUAGAGGCAGGUGGAAUUCUUAGUGUAGCGGUAAAAUGCGUAGAGAUUAAGAGGAACACCAGUGGCGAAGGCGACCUGCUGGAAUUUAACUGACGCUGAUGCGCGAAAGCGUGGGGAGCAAACAGGAUUAGAUACCCUUGUAGUC